Clupea harengus (Atlantic herring) is the source of this 374-nucleotide long non-coding RNA. The record is from Ensembl. Lineage: Eukaryota; Metazoa; Chordata; Actinopteri; Clupeiformes; Clupeidae.
UUGCCAUGGGAACCAGUGCCAGGCUGCCACGAGCGCCUGGCAAGAGGGAAGAGAGAGACUGUGCCUGAAUGUUCCAGGGGGGUUGUUUCUACUCCAGAGCCUCUGAAGGAUUGAUCUUCGAAGACCUGAGCACAAGAGAAGAGGAACACAGAGGUCUCGGAGGAUCACAUCAGCACAGCAAUCCUUUUGCCAAGGCGUAACUGUGUGGGUUUUAUCCGAAUCAAGAGAGACCUGUGGCCAGAACAUUACAAUGCAUUCAUUGCUGAGGCAGGCUGAAUGGACAAGGAGUUACUCAGUACUGGAAAAAAAUCGAAUUUUACCUGCAUGACUACAAUAGCUCUCUGAGUACUUUUUAAUGAUGUCCUUUUCUGUCC